Molecule: ribosomal RNA, 80 nt
Filed under: Oscillospiraceae bacterium
Lineage: Bacteria; Bacillati; Bacillota; Clostridia; Eubacteriales; Oscillospiraceae
Description: partial 23S ribosomal RNA
Source: RNAcentral
ACUACCGGGUUGAUAGGCACCAAGUCUAAAGGCAGCGAUGUCAAAGCUAGGGUGUACUAAUAGACCGAGGGCUUGACCUA